RNAcentral lists this ribosomal RNA (673 nucleotides) under Azadinium spinosum. RNAcentral's name for it is "partial large subunit ribosomal RNA". It matches the Rfam family "Eukaryotic large subunit ribosomal RNA", at positions 68 to 620 of the family's 3401-position model. Lineage: Eukaryota; Dinophyceae; Gonyaulacales; Amphidomataceae. The record is from RNAcentral.
AACAGGAUUCCCUUAGUAAUGGCGAAUGAACAGGGAUGAGCUCAGCAUGGAAAUCGGGGUCUCCCGACCUUGAAUUGUAGUCUGUAGAUGUACUGCCAACGGAGGCGCAGAUGUAAGCCUCUUGGAAAAGAGCAUCAACGAGGGUGAGAGUCCCGUUUGUCAUCUGCAGUCCCCCGUGCACGGUGUGCCUUCUAAGAGUCACGUUCCUCGGGAUUGGAGCGCAAAGUGGGUGGUAAAUUUCAUCUAAAGCUAAAUAUUGGUUCGAGACCGAUAGCAAACAAGUACCAUGAGGGAAAGGUGAAAAGGACUUUGAAAAGAGAGUUAAAAGUGCCUGAAAUUGCUGAAAGGGAAGCGAAUGGAACCAGUGUUCUUGAUGAGAUUGUUGCGUACUCUGGUGAUUGCUGGGUGUUCCACCGCAAGGGGGGCAUUUAGUUUUGAGCUAGAUGUGCGUGGUGUUUCUUGUCUUGUGUGUCACCGUCGGUGCACGAGCGAGUAAACCUCCAGGGGGCUGGUAGCUCGACCAUGGUUGAGUGAAUACCUUUGGCAGUACUCAUUUGUGUAUCGAUCCCUGCGUGUCUGGUUGCAGUGUUUGGGUCGCCUGGAAACUUCUGAGGGGCUUGUCCUUGAAGGAGUCCUUCUGGGCGCCCUGAGCAUCUCCCUGACACAAAGACGA